AAUAAAAUAAAUCCUUUAUUGCACAUUUCUCUGCUGUUUACAACUUACUCGACUCACAGCAUUCAGUCUAGUAUCCCUGUAAAUUAGUUACUGUUUAACCAGGGAGAUUAUACAGUAAAAAUAUUAGCUAUUAAUUAUGAUUAGUUAUACAAUAAUAAUAUAUAAAUACAUUGAUUUUGACAAUUUGUCUUUUGCAGUUUCCUCAUAUUACGUGAUUACGGAAUUUGUACUAUCUAUUGUCCGCUAUUGAUUUUAGGUUUAUCGUUAACCUUACCUUUUGAUCAAAACAAGAUCACGUGAAAGUUGAGAUGAUCGGAUAAUUAAAGAAUGCCACGUGUAUUGAUGAUGAGCAGAAGGCUCUCAUCUAAUUUAAGUGUCUAUAAUGGUGAGUUUUGGAAAUAUUUCAAUUGUUUUAUGAUAAUUUAUUGAAAGCAUCAUGAUUUAUUUUAAAAUAUCAAAGAAUUUCUAUUCUGACAUUAGAUAGUACAAGGUCAAUGUUCAGUAAGCAUGCUGAUUUGUGUACAGGUAAACCUUGAUCAUUUGUCACAUUUAAACACACACAUGAAAUUUGUUUACAUUGCCUAAGAGUCAUUCUACAUGAUAUAUAUGUGUAAUGAUAUUAAAUAAAAAUACAUUUUAUGAUUUAUAAUAUAAACAUAGUUAUAUAUUUUUAUAAACAUCACACAAAAACCUACUUGUUUUUUAUCAAGUGUUUUCAUACUAUCAAAGUAUUGUUGAAAUUCUAACUUAAAAAUUCUGUAAACAUCAACAUUUUUUUGUUUAUACUCUGAUGCAUAUGUAGAUUUAUGAAUAGAGAACAUUAAUACAGUCAGAAACAGAUUGAUGUCAUAGUAGUUUAUAUCAUAUAUUUUAUACCCAAGUAUUAGAUUUUUGAAAGAGAUUAUAUGUGUCCCCAUUUUUAUUUUGUCAAGCAGUAAUUUGACUUUUUUCCAAAAAGUUUGAAAGUAUUGGCAUGUGAUGAAAAAGUGUUCAUAGUUUUCUAAUUGGUUGCAAAUAUGGCAUUGGUCAUCACUUUUCAGUUGCCAGAUGUGCAAUAGCUGUUUACAAGGAAGGAUAUAGUGAAGUAGUUUCCACCUGAAUAUUUUUAACUUGUUAACUUGUAAGCUGUAAAAUAUAAAGUUAAGCAUUUUGUACAAGUAGCUUGACGAUUCUAAUUUAAAUUGUGUUUUCCAUUUUAGAAAUCCAAUUGGUGUUUUUUCCUCUAUAUUACAUGAAUUAAUGCUUUUAUAUAUUUCUUUUGAUGGAAGGUUUUCAAUGCAGAUCAAUUUUGUGUUGUUUUGUGUUUUUAAAGUAUAGUUUUUUAUUUGUUUUAACUUGAGUACAGCAUGAUUUAUCUGAUUUCAUUUCCAUUUGCCACUUUUUUGGUAUUGCGUUUUUUAUUCUUGAUAGUUCUGAUAUCCAAUUUGAUUUAAUUGUUAGUUUAUCUAAUACAAUCUUUUGUGAAAUGUUUCCUUCUUUGUCGAUUAUAUCAUUAAUAAAUAGUAUUCCAUUUGUUAUCCAAUUUGAAAAUAUUAAGCAUUUGUUUUGAAAUUUUAUAUGCUUAUUGCCCCAAAUAUAUUGUUGUCUUAUGUUAAUAAAAGUUGUAUUGUUUUUGUUUGAGAUAUUUUUUAUUUUAAACCAACUUUUAAUUAUUUCUAAAUAAAAAAGAGGGAGUGUUUUACUAAGGUUUGGGAUUGCUUUUAUGCUACCUGGAUUCAUGUUGAAUAAAGAGAAGUUUUCUCCAAAUAUAUUAAAAAAGAAAAGGGGAAUAACUUUCCAGUUCGCAAAGUGUGUUGAUGUUAAACGUUUGACCCAGGAUAAUUGUAUAGCUGAUAGAAAAUUGUCAAUAUUAAUCAUUUUUAGGCCUCCUUCCAAAUAAUCUUUACAUAAAGUUAUCCGUUUAACUUUUUCUUUUUUAUUUCCCCAAAUGAAGUUGUAAAUUAGUGUUUUGAAUUCAUUCAGAAAGUUUUUGGAUAUAGUUGUCACUGAUGCCAAGAAAGUUAAAUUUGGUAGGAUAAGAGAUUUAAUUACUGUUAUUUUACCUAUCAUUGUAAGAUUUCUUCUGUUCCAGCUAUUGAUUGCAUCUUGAGACUUUCUUAAAAUCUUUUCUGUAUUUAAUCUGUCGCAUUCAUCUUUGUUAAGUCCAAAAUAUACCCCUAGACUUUUAAUAGGUUCUUUAUUCCAGUUUAUAUUUUCAUAUUUAUCUUUGCAGCUUUUCAAUUGGCCUAACCAUAUGCCCUCUGUUUUAGAUCGGUUAAGUUUAAGACCUGAGAGUGUUCCAAAUAUUUCAAUCAAGUUUAAAGCAUAGCUUAUUUCCUGCUUACAUUUUAAAAAGAGAGUAGUAUCAUCUGCUAGUUGUGAAAUUUUCAGACUAUGUGUUUUGGAGUCUAAUUUAAUUUGAAAUCCCUUAAUACCAGUAUCUUGUCUUAUUCUACAUGCGAGAAUUUCUACUGCUAUUGUGAAAAUUAGAGAACUGCAUGGACACCCUUGUCGUAUCCCACGAUAUACAUUGUAGGUUUCUGAAAUCCAACCAUUAUUUAGCAUACAGCCUUUAAUAUUUUUAUAUAAUGUUUUAACCCAUUUAAUGAAUGAGUUUGGGAGACCAAAUUUUGUUAGGGCUUCAUACAUAAAGUCCCAUUCUAAUGAAUCAAAAGCUUUUGAAAAAUCAAUAAAAAGUAAUGCACCAUCAAUUUGAAAGGUUUCAGCAUAAUCAAUAAUGUCUUGGAUUUGGCGUAUAUUAAAACCAAUAUAUCUAUUUUUGAUAUAACCAUUUUGAUCCCCAUGAAUUAUUUUUAACAGUAUUGGUUUUAAACGUUGAGCUAUUGCAUAUGCAAUGAGUUUAGUAUCUACAUUUAAUAGUGUAAUUGGUCUAUAGUUAUCCAGUGACAAAGGGUCUUUUUUUUUGUAAAUUAAGGAUAUUAUACCUAUUUUUUGUAUGGUUGUUAGUUCUCCUUCUUCAUAGCAUUUGUUAAAAACUUCAACAGUAAAUUCUUUUAGAUUAUUCCAAAAAGUGCGAUAAAAUUCUACACUUAGCCCAUCUAUUCCUGGAGAUUUAUUUAAUUUCAUUUGAAAUAUUGCCUUAGUGCAUUCUUCUACUGUUAAAGGGCCCCCCAAGGAUUCACUUUCUAUUUCUGAUAGUUUGUGAUCAAUGUUGGUUUCAUUUAUGUAAUUUUUUAUAUCUUUUAAAUUUGGAGAAGUGCUUUUAUAUAGAUUUUCAUAGUAUGAUCUUUCUAUGUUUAGAAUUUCUGAGUGUUCUGUAACUAUUUUCCCAUCUUUAUUUUUAAGCGCUGUGAUACUUUUUUGGUUUGUCUUGAUUUUUCAAGGCCCAGGAAGAAUUUAGUGUUUUUCUCUCCUUCUUCUAACCAUUGUACUCGGGAUCUUAUUUGUGCACCUUUAACUUUAUUUAAGUAGAGGUUUUCAAGUUUUUCUUCCAUGGUUUUAAUUUCUUUUUCCAUAGUUGGGCUUACAUUUGUUUUUUCAUUUAAUUUUCUUAAUUUUGUUUCUAAAUUUUUUAUAUCAUUUUUAUUUUCAGAUGAUCUUUGUUUGCAGUAAGUAAGAGUUGCGGUUCUUACCUCUGAUUUAAACAUAUCCCAAAGUGUUUUCAAAUUUUUGGUGAGUAUUUGUUUUUUUAUAGUUUUCGAUUAAUUUAUUUAUGAGAUCAAUAUAUUUUUGCUCUUUAAGUAUACUAUUAUUUAUUUUAAAGAAUCCCCUGCCUCUUUCUUCCGAAUUUUGUCUUACUUGUAAAGAAAUGGCUUGGUGAUCAGUAUAUGAUAUCAUUGCAGGUCGAAUAUCUGCUUUCAUAACAUGCGGUCUUAUAUCAGGACUUAUUAGAAAGAAGUCAAUUCUACUGGCUAUUUUUGUAUCAUUUUUCCUUCUCCAUGUGAAUUGACUUGUAUUUGGAUGAAGUUCUCUCCAUAUAUCUGUUAAAAUUAUUUUUCUUUAUUAAUUUUUUAAAACUAUUCACUGGUUUGUAGUUUCGAGAGAUAUUAUUAGUUUUUUUUAUCAUUAAUUGAUAGGGUUUCGUUCAUGUCACCUCCAAGUAUAAGAAUACCCAAGCGAUUGUUUUCAAUUAUAUUUUGGACCUUUUUGAAAAAUUUGUUUCUGUUUUUGUGUUGAUUUGGAGCAUAUACAUUUAUUAAAGUAAAAAUGUUUUCAUUUAUUUCUAUGUUAAUCAAAAUUAUUCUGCCUUCUGUAUCUUUUAUCUCAUUUAUUGUCUUACAUUUUAAAUUAUUUUUCACAUAGAUUGAUACCCCCUUUGAUUGUGUGUUACCAUAACUAUGGAACAUUUUGCCAUCAAACUCAUAAUUUAUAGUUUUUUCAUUUUUUUCUAUAAAAUGUGACUCUUGCAUGAAAAGAAUAUUACAUUUUUGAUUUUUUGUCCAUAAUUGUAAUCUUUCUCUUUUCUGUUUUUGGCCUAAACCUUGACAGUUUAGUGAUAUUAUGUGUAGAUUUUCACCCAUUGUUAAAUUUUGAGUUUAGAUGUUUUGUUAGCAUAAAUGCUGAAAAAAGAUAUAUUUGUUUCAUCUGAUAUUUACAACAUAUUUUCAUUAGUUUGAUUUUAUGAUUACUAUAAAAACAAUGGUACACAAUUAUGUGUGAGAUAAGUGCAUAUAAUAAAUAGAAUAUAAACACAAACUUGACAGUGUACAUGAAUGUAAAUAAAACAUAACACAAACAAAUAUAAGCAUGCAUGCAUGUAGUUGAACAUAUAUUUUUAUUUACUUGUUCAAUAUAUACAUUAGAUUUUUCUUUUGCUACUUCAACAUAUUUUGAGACUAUAUACAUGAUAUAUCUACACUGAAAAAACAGAUAUAUUUUAUUCAUAACAUGUGUUUUAAUUUUAUGGUUAUUUAUUUUUAGAUCUGAUGUUUUGGCAGAAGUAAAUGUAUGAAAUUGUUUGGACCAUGUACAUAGUGUGGAAAUUUACAAUCAAUUUAGAAGCAAUCGGAAUGUUUAUAUUUAGCAAAAUCGGUAUUUGUGUAUAUCUACAUAAUCUAUGAAGGAACAUAUUUGCUGAUAAUCUGGGACUUGCAAAGGAUGGAUGGAUGGAUUUUUUCAUGUGGAUUAAAAUUGACUUUUGAAGUAUUCCUAAUAUGUGGAUUAAAUAAGAUAUCCAAAUCUUUUUAAUGUGAAAUGGAAAAGGACAAAGUAUGAAUUCUAAUAUGUGAAUUAAAACUGAUGGAUAAUUUGUUAUAGAGCAAGCAUAUAUCAUGGAGAGUUUAUAGCUGUUAACUAUAAAAAUCAACAGAAAAAGUGAUUUUAGACUGAUGUGAUUUAAUGAAUUGGUAUUUAUCAAAGAUAUUUUCUUU
RNAcentral lists this long non-coding RNA (5309 nucleotides) under Mytilus galloprovincialis (Mediterranean mussel). Lineage: Eukaryota; Metazoa; Mollusca; Bivalvia; Mytilida; Mytilidae. The record is from RNAcentral.